Molecule: non-coding RNA, 126 nt
Filed under: Yersinia ruckeri
Lineage: Bacteria; Pseudomonadati; Pseudomonadota; Gammaproteobacteria; Enterobacterales; Yersiniaceae
Description: TPP sequence
Rfam family: TPP riboswitch aptamer (THI element)
About the family: Vitamin B(1) in its active form thiamin pyrophosphate (TPP) is an essential coenzyme that is synthesised by coupling of pyrimidine and thiazole moieties in bacteria. The previously detected thiamin-regulatory element, thi box was extended, resulting in a new, highly conserved RNA secondary structure, the THI element, which is widely distributed in eubacteria and also occurs in some archaea.
Source: Rfam by way of RNAcentral
GGUCUCUUGUCGGAGUGCCUAGCGCGCGCUUUUUUAUAAAGCAACGCGCAGGCUGAGACCGUUAAUUCGGGAUCCGCGGAACCUGAUCGGGUUAGUACCCGCGAAGGGAACAAGAGUAAUUUAUCG